GAACGUGGACGCGAGUAGUUUACGAAAUUUUAAAGAUUUUUUACAACUUUAUAAUCAAAUGACUGAAAGAUGUUUUUAUAAAUGUAUAGAACACACGAAUUCACGUGAAUUGUCACCUAAUGAAAUUGAGUGUACAGAAAAAUGAGACAAAAUGAUAUUAUGACUAGGAGAAUGAAAGAAGCUGAACAAAUGAUGGACAAUAAACAGGAAGUGACGGUCUCAAAUAGCUGAUGUGAUACAUUAAGCGCUGUAGUAAAUUCUUAGGUACAAAUAAAUUUCUGAAAAAUU
Tribolium madens (black flour beetle) is the source of this 288-nucleotide long non-coding RNA. RefSeq lists it as uncharacterized. The transcript has 3 exons. NCBI's taxonomy places the organism in Eukaryota, Metazoa, Arthropoda, Insecta, Coleoptera, Tenebrionidae. The record is from RefSeq and is a predicted model, not a curated record.